ACUUGAGCAAAUAUAGCACCUUCCUUCAGAUAACAUGUUGUUACAAAUACGGAGCUGCCCAUAGUUUAGCCAUCGCUUGCCUAGAUAGCACGUGAAAAGCUUCUAAUAUCAGCUGUGAACCGUCUGCAAGAUGAACAUCAAGUUUUUCCUCGCUGUUGCUUUGGUCUGCCUGGCAGUCUCCACCACCACUGCAGCGCCCCAAAAGAGGGACGGUGGGUGCGCGCUUGGAGGAAACGUUGCUUGUGCGGCCCAUUGUUACCUUCAGAACAAACAGGGAGGCACGUGUGAUGAAAACGAUGUCUGCAACUGCAGUGUGGAGAAUGUCAUAGGUUGAUCUUCCCAAAGACCAGGGAAUUCACAGCCUUCUGAUGAAACUUUUUGUGAAGUGGAAGGAACUUUUAAGUGAUAUUUCCUGUAAACUAUAUUAUAAUAAAAUUGUGAAAAA
Molecule: long non-coding RNA, 445 nt
Organism: Mya arenaria
Lineage: Eukaryota; Metazoa; Mollusca; Bivalvia; Myida; Myidae
Exons: 4
Source: RefSeq, a predicted model, not a curated record